RNAcentral lists this ribosomal RNA (571 nucleotides) under Rothia dentocariosa. RNAcentral's name for it is "bacterial SSU rRNA". It matches the Rfam family "Bacterial small subunit ribosomal RNA", at positions 375 to 958 of the family's 1533-position model. Lineage: Bacteria; Bacillati; Actinomycetota; Actinomycetes; Micrococcales; Micrococcaceae. The record is from RNAcentral.
GCGCAAGCCUGAUGCAGCGACGCCGCGUGAGGGAUGACGGCCUUCGGGUUGUAAACCUCUGUUAGCAUCGAAGAAGCGAAAGUGACGGUAGGUGCAGAGAAAGCGCCGGCUAACUACGUGCCAGCAGCCGCGGUAAUACGUAGGGCGCGAGCGUUGUCCGGAAUUAUUGGGCGUAAAGAGCUUGUAGGCGGUUGGUCGCGUCUGCUGUGAAAGGCUGGGGCUUAACCCUGGUUUUGCAGUGGGUACGGGCUAACUAGAGUGCAGUAGGGGAGACUGGAAUUCCUGGUGUAGCGGUGGAAUGCGCAGAUAUCAGGAGGAACACCGAUGGCGAAGGCAGGUCUCUGGGCUGUAACUGACGCUGAGAAGCGAAAGCAUGGGGAGCGAACAGGAUUAGAUACCCUGGUAGUCCAUGCCGUAAACGUUGGGCACUAGGUGUGGGGGACAUUCCACGUUUUCCGCGCCGUAGCUAACGCAUUAAGUGCCCCGCCUGGGGAGUACGGCCGCAAGGCUAAACUCAAAGAAAUUGACGGGGGCCCGCACAAGCGGCGGAGCAUGCGGAUUAUUCGAUGCA